This 300-nucleotide ribosomal RNA is filed under the name uncultured Streptomyces sp. RNAcentral describes it as "bacterial SSU rRNA". The stretch from base 52 to 300 matches the Rfam family "Bacterial small subunit ribosomal RNA", at positions 547 to 795 of the family's 1533-position model. The record is from RNAcentral. Lineage: Bacteria; Bacillati; Actinomycetota; Actinomycetes; Kitasatosporales; Streptomycetaceae.
GGCACGCUGGGGCGAUGGGCGGGGGUAAGACGGGGGGUGUAGGGGUUAAUGGGUGUUAGUGGGCGUAAAGGGCGCGUAGGUGGUUGGAUAAGUUGUUUGUGAAAUCCCCGGGCUUAACCUGGGAACUGCAAGCGAAACUGUCUGACUGGAGUACUGUAGAGGGUAGUGGAAUUUCCGGUGUAGCGGUGAAAUGCGUAGAGAUCGGAAGGAACACCAGUGGCGAAGGCGGCUACCUGGACAGAUACUGACACUGAGGCGCGAGAGCGUGGGGAGCAAACAGGAUUAGAUACCCCAGUAGUC